UCCCUUCUGGCUCAGCUGGUAAAGAAUCCGUCUGCUAUGCGGGAGACCUGAGUUCGAUCCUUGGGUUGGGAA
This 72-nucleotide transfer RNA is filed under the name Ovis aries (sheep). It matches the Rfam family "tRNA". Rfam says of the family: Transfer RNA (tRNA) molecules are approximately 80 nucleotides in length. Their secondary structure includes four short double-helical elements and three loops (D, anti-codon, and T loops). Lineage: Eukaryota; Metazoa; Chordata; Mammalia; Artiodactyla; Bovidae. The record is from Rfam by way of RNAcentral.